Non-coding RNA from Bactrocera oleae (olive fruit fly), 5275 nucleotides. Lineage: Eukaryota; Metazoa; Arthropoda; Insecta; Diptera; Tephritidae. The record is from RefSeq and is a predicted model, not a curated record.
UUUGAAGACAUCAGAAAUUGAGAGACUAAAAAAAUAAAUAUAAAAAUAUAUUUUCAACCAAUUUUUUCUAAUAAUUCUUUAUACAAAAGUGAAAUGUCCACGAGAUUUACCCAUUCGCAAUCGGCAAAUAAAUUCCAUGACUACAAGCUAUAUGCGAUUAAUUUUCAAACGAAUUCUUUAAACUCAAUAUGUGAAGAAUUCAAAAAGCGCGUGCAGUCGGGCCUACGCAGGCGUAUCUUCAUAAUUGAUCUCGAAGAAGAAGCGAAGCAGCUGGCACUAAAAGUACGCAAUACGAAACGAUUUGACAAUUACACCGUCGCUAUGGAGGCCAUCGAAGAGUGUUUAGCCGAAUACCGCCGUACGUCUCAUAUAAUUGCCGAAGAGAAGAAAUUCAGUUUAAUCGAUUAUUGGAUGGAUAACCUAAAUGUGCCCACCGGUGCAACAUUACUCAAAGAGCAGCGUAAGUCGAACAAGAGGGCAUCCAGAAAGACACCUGUUUUACCGAAAUCACCACCGAAGCAAACAAAAGCGUCAAAGUUGUCACGAGUGGAGAUGGAAAAGAAAAAGUCCGUGUUAUCAUUUCCAACAUGUCCACAUUUGACGCCGAAGCAACACAACACAGUUGGACGGCCUGAGCCGUUGUCCAAAAGGAAGUACAUACAAGACGAACCGGAAUAUUCGAAAAUUUUCAUAGUCCUCAUUGGCGAUAUGGACAAUGACUUCUAUGUGAAACUCUUGAGCGCUCGCGAACCACUCCAAGCUAUCAUACAUUUUCUGCCCGAGGAGUGCGGCUACGACAUGUUGCUACCACAUCCGGAAGCCAAAGAACAACUUGCGAGCAUUAUCGAGCAGAUACAGGUGGAUAUCUUUGAAAUGCGCGCAUUGGCAUUAACAAAACCAGUGGGUUAUAUGCAACAUUAUUUACCCGUUAUAUCACGUUGCCUCGCUGAGAAGUACUCAAACCAGAUCUAUGAACAACUCUGUCAUUAUUUGUUCGACAUCGAAGUGCUGUUGCAGCAAUAUGAACAGUACUAUAGAAAGCCAUUCCAAACCAUAGAUGUCGAAAUGCCAUUGAAAGUGAAUGUGGAGGCGCUACAAGAGACCGCCGAAUCGUUAGAUUUGCAGGGAACCUAUUUAACCGCGCCACUGCCUGCUAUAGCCAGCGACGUGGCAACGGUUGCCAUCUACUUUGACGGGCUGCUCAAUCAAAUUGCGGAGCGCGUGCGCAAGCUGACGCCGCAACAGGCACAAAUCAGCACCUUGCCCUACAAACAGGCGAGCGCCAUAGACUUGAAUCAAGAACUACGCGAUGUUUAUGCGACAGCUUUCGAUAGUAUUUUGAAGGUGCGACACUUUGAACGUUUAUGCGUUGCCGCCAAUAACUUGCUGCUGCACGAACUGCUGCUCUACACGAAUAUCGAUUCAUUCGAAACGGUGCACUAUACGAGUUUGGAAUAUAAUUUGAUGCGUUCGUACAUAGAUAACGGUUGUUUGAAAAACAUCUUCCAGGUACAAGAAUACCAUGAAUUAUCGGACAGAGACUUCUUUCAGUUACCAUAUUAUGCGAAAAUGUACUUCGGCGAGAAUAUAGUGAAGCAACAUUUACAAAGAUGGGUCAACGAGUAUAACACCUGCGAAGUGGAUGAAAUUAUGCCCGGCUGCAAAUUGUAUCACUUCAAACGCGCCUAUAAUGAAGUAAAUGAAGAGCAACAGGUUGUGGUUUUGCCAUCGCCUCUGUGCUUUCGCGAUUUUACGCUCUUUCAAAUGGAAGAGUUCAUUGAUGCCUUAGUCACGCCCGAAAUGAUACAGGCACAGUACGAGCAAAGCUAUACGUCCAUGCAAAGUUUAAUGAAAAAAGGUAAAAAGGACAAGGAUAAUCAAGGCAUAGAUAUGUCGAUAUUUAUAAGACCGACAUCAUUGAAAUGGAAAAAGUUCAAAGCUUACAUGGAAACACACUUGAGUCAAACUGUUGGCAGCCAAACACCACUACUGCCACAGUUGAGACCGACAGAGUUGUCCGUGCAAAGGAAGUCUUCACAUAUGGAAGGUGCGCCUGGAUUACCUUACAAUCAUUCUUUACUGCAAGGGUACAAUCUCGAAGAUGUACGUCAGGAGAUACAGAUAAAAAGCUCCAAAUACUAUUUCGAAGAGGGCCGCGUAGAAUUGUACGAGGAACGUUGGUGCUUCACCGAUAUGAAUAAAAACCUAUUGUUAAAUGCAAAUGACAUUUUGUUAAAUAUAUUUCGACCACGUUUUUGGAACACCUCAGUCUCAUCAUGUCUACGUUUCACUAAUAAAAAUAAUGUCUCAUUGCGUAUACUAAACACUGUGGACGAAUGCGCUAAAAUUGUUAUAAACUAUCCCAAUGGUUUGACCAUCUAUCACAAUGAGCAUCAAGUCGAACAGGUAUGGCAUAUACUAGACUCGUUCAAUAGAGAAAAGAGUCGUUUGUGUAUUACCGAAGGUGCUGUUGUUGUGCACUACCAAAACGACGAACUCAUAACGGUGAUGCGUUAUAAUGGUGAAGUUUAUCGCUUAUAUCAGUAUGAGUUUCCGGAGGGUGAGGAAGAAGCCUUCCAAGAAAUGACUGAAGAAUUAGAUUCAUCGCUAAAAAUCGAACAAAUUGAUAGCACUGCAACUAAAGGCACAGCGCGACUUACAAAACGCGAUACGAAAAGAGAUAAAGAUUUGGAUGAUGAGAAAGUAAAGGGUGAAGAUAAAAGCAAAAAGAAAGUUAAGCUAAAAGAAAAAGAAAAAGGAGAAAAUCCGAAAGAUAAAGUUUCAGUCAAAGCCUCAGCACGUUCUAAGGCCUCAUCGCAUAAAUCAGUGGCUUUCGGAGAUCCUAAACGCAAAACGCGUAAGGAAUUACUUAUUGAAUCAAUCGACAACGAAUUGAGAUUUCUCAACGAACUCACACAAAAGUAUUCGCUCAAGUACUUGCAUCUAAUUGUAACUACCUCAAAUGGAAAUAUCGUGAAUCUCACACAUCGCGGUAAGGUCUACAAAGGUCGCUCUAAGCCUACUAUAGAAUGGCACGACUAUUUUGCGAACGAAAGCUAUGCAGAACGCGGUGAUGGUGUACGCAUGAUUUGGACUGCGGACUCUCUGAAGUGUUAUCACAAAGAUGGCACCGUUUUAAUAACAAAAAUAGAGGAGAAGAUUGAAUCAUUCGGUUUCGACGCUGACACUGCUGUCACAUUGAGUUCUUCGCAUAUGGAUGAGGAUUAUGGCGAAUACUCCGACAGUUUGUCAACUAGCCGUAAUCUAAAAGCUGGCCACCGUUCGCAGAGCACUUCACCUACGCACAAGCAAACCCAUAAGACUUCACCAUCCAAUAAAGCUGGUAAAAGGCUUAAACGUGAAGUGUCCGAUGUCAAAUCGCCAUCCCCACACUCACGUGUUUUAUCUACAAUGUCUCACUAUUUUAUCUCUGGCGAAGGUGAAGAGACACGUAAAUAUGAUGAUCCUUCAUAUGUGACUAGCCGCUAUAGUAGCUUUCAUAUGUUACAUAAAAAGUAUGCCGAAGUCCAAAUCGACUUGUACGAAGUGCCGGUAAAUAAUAUUGUCAUCACUCUAAUGGCCAUUGAUGGUAUAUCGGCAUAUAUCUACAAAGUAUUACCCACAAUUGAAAAUUUAAAUUUGGACCAAUACAAGGACCAAGUACCAAAUUUUCGAGCCACAGGGGGUGAAAAUGUAGCGGGAACUACAACCCACAAGAAUACUGCAACUACUAAGAGCAGUUCAAUUUAUACAGCUGGCAGUGAACCGCGUAUGUCUGAUUCGGGCAAAUAUACGAUUGAGGAGGAAAUUAUCGUGCAGACGGUAGUAAAAGUGAGUUUCGGUAAUGCUUUGAAUGUAUCAACGACAGAAGAAGCGUGUGAACUCGGCUUGGAGUUGGAGCGUUAUGAUGAGGAAAAUAACAACGUGCGCGACACCUUGGAAAUGCGUUUCGAGUUUAAGCAAAAUAUUACCGAUCUCUUUCAAUAUUUUGUUGAUCGUAUAUCGAAUUUCAAAAAUUAUCAAAAGCCUAAAUCAUGUGAAUUGUAUUUUUUGGAGCACCAAAAUGAAGAGUGUCACACAACAGGAUACCACUUCCUUUGUAAGCUACCGCCACCAUUGGAAUAUAAUAUCUCCGCUGGCAACACUUUUACGGAACUGCGACAACUUAAGAACGUCAAGGAACUAAUGACAAAUGAUUAUCCUUGGUUCGAGAGAGAUAUGAAGAAGUUUCCGCGUUUCCCUUCGAAACGAGAACGUACGCCACCGAUAAACGACACUUUUCCAUUCGUUUUGCUUGCCAACAUAUUCAGAAAUCACCUAAAUAAGCCAUUUAUCACCAAGCCUAUCUAGGGUCCCAUCAUCAUCAACGCGACCUAAAGAAGAUGAUCGGGAGGUCAUUUAACAACUAUUCACAUCGUUUUUGAACAGACCCUAGGAUCAUAAGACAGGCUUCGGAAUCCCAACAUAUGAUAUACGACUUACCUUAGACCUUCCGACGUCAACUGACACCAGACACCUGCUUUAUAGACUCAACUGUAUCUCUUAGAAGCACGUAUGUCAAGAUUCCAAAAGCUUUAUGCAACACGGCAGAGAUACAUAAAUUCGUGGAGCCCAUUGAAGAUUACACAUUCAAGAGGACACAACAACACCUACGCGAUGCUAUCGAAUAUUAUUUACGACCACGUAUACGUAUCGCUUUGGCUCAACUUUGGAGUGAAAAUAAUUGGAAAAUCAAGCUAGAAGAUCAUAAACGUCGUAUAUUUCGCGAACAACAACGCACUGUACUGUAUACGGCAAUGUUGCGUCAUCAGGUCUACCCCAAAUAUUGGCAAUUCCGGGAGGACUUUUACGGUCAUGUCAAGGAUAUUGAUUUCUUCAAAUUUGUAAUACUGCGCUGCUAUAAACCCGAAGUAACUGAAGCAGGUAAGACUGAAGAAACUACAGAAAAAGUGCGUUUUGCAACGGAGCCGAGAGCAAGUACCGAAAAACCACCACCUAUGGGGCCCUCUUCUCCUCCAACACAAAAAUUCACCGAAGGUGGUUUACAGUUGAGACAUUCAAUGGCAAAAUAUCGUGGCCGAACUCCACCCAAAUGUAUAACAACAUUAACGCAUAUCACUGAUCAAUUAGAUGAAUAAAAAAAAUUUUGUUUAUACACAUACAAUUAUAGACUAUGUGUAUACGAGUAUAUAUGUAUACAUGUAUGUACAUAUGGAAUUAAAUCGUAAAACUCGGAAUUACCUCAAUCGUAGAUUUGAGUCUUUCAAUAACGCAA